This is a long non-coding RNA of Melospiza melodia melodia, 1303 nucleotides long. RefSeq lists it as uncharacterized. The record is from RefSeq and is a predicted model, not a curated record. The transcript is spliced from 4 exons. Lineage: Eukaryota; Metazoa; Chordata; Aves; Passeriformes; Passerellidae.
UGAACAGGCACACGGAGACACCUCAGCCCGGAGAGACACCAUCGACAGCCCAGAAGGGACCCCAAGGAGCAGCUGGCAUUGCCUGGAAUGGAGGCACGGGCCGUUUGCAGAGGGGGUCAGACAGCAGCUCCAGUUUCUGACCUCCCAGAACUCCCACACAGCUCCCAGAUAUUGAAUCCCAAGCAAUAUACCUUGGAGAUGCCUCAAAAUCAGAGGUUCAAGCAGGAUGAAGUUUGGAACUUUCCAGGGAGCCAGCUAGAAGUACAGAAGUGACAGAAAACUUUUGCGGUGAGAAGAACAUGAACUCACAGCCACCAAGGCCUGACAGGUUCCUGCAGUGAGAGCUCAGCACACAUCCACAGAGAGAGAGGGGAGAUGUGGGAAUUGGAAAACCAGAAACUUCCAGAGACACCAAAAGAUUUGAUCUGCAGCCUGGGAAGAAGCUUGGAUUGAUGUAAAAAUACAAUACACAGGCAUGAACAGAAAAAUAAUACAUAAAAUAAUUAUGUUUCUAUGGUUGUAAGUAAGAGCACGCCUUGAGUAAGUGAGGAACUGUGAAGGUGAGGUGGUGAAGGGUUUAUAACGUGAGGGUGGGGUUGUAUAGAGUAAAGUAAGAGUUCAGAAUUAUAACAGAAGCAUCUGUGUGCAAGUGAGACAGAAGCCUAUUGAGCAAAAGUGUGCACGGUUAAAUAAAGGUGAGUUAAAUAAAGGUGAUAGCUUAGAAAAGCAAAAUAAACCCUGUGGCAGCUGUCUGCGGGUUAGAAAGUUAUACAUUGCCUUGGAACAAUGAAUUGUGACUACUCUGGAACUGUAGCAAACAACUUACCCUGUAAAGUCUGCUGGCCUCUGAGGCUGAUGUUUGUGUGAGCAAUAAACCCUUCUGACACAGAGAAGGGGUAAGAGCCAGUGCCAUCCCCUGGUUGCUGACAAUGGUGGCUCUGGGCAGGGCUGUCUCUGUGUCUCUGCCUGCAGACAGGUGUGGGGCUAUGUCACAGACAUCUUUUAUGAAAAAUCCUCUCCUUAGGACUUUUCCUCCUCUGAAGCUGAGGCAUCAAACAAAAUGUGAACAGUGGUUAUCUGCUGGUUAUCAACAGGUGCAUCUGUGAUUGGUCUUAUAGAGUUAUUUCUAAUUAAUGGCCAAACACAGUCAGCUGGCUUGGACUCUCUGUCUGAGACACAAGCCUUUGUUAUCAUUCUUUCUCUUUCUAUUCUUACCCAGCCUUCUGAUGAUCUCAUUUCUUCUAUUCUUUUAGUGUAGUUUUAAUGUAAUAUCUAUAAUAAAAUAAUAAAUCAGCCCUGUGAA